RNAcentral lists this ribosomal RNA (214 nucleotides) under uncultured bacterium. RNAcentral's name for it is "partial 16S ribosomal RNA". It matches the Rfam family "Bacterial small subunit ribosomal RNA", at positions 32 to 239 of the family's 1533-position model. The record is from RNAcentral.
AAUCAACGCUGGCGGCGUGCCUAACACAUGCAAGUCGAACGAGAAAGUGGAGCAAUCCAUGAGUAAAGUGGCGACCGGGUGAGUAACACGUGACUAACCUACCUUCGAGUGGGGAAUAACCUCGGGAAACCGGGGCGUAAUACCGCAUAACAUCGCGAGGUGAGAUUCCUUGUGAUCAAAGGAGCAAUACGCUUGAAGAGGGGGUCGGCGGCGU